RNAcentral lists this long non-coding RNA (501 nucleotides) under Homo sapiens (human). RNAcentral describes it as "non-protein coding lnc-SLC5A6-3:1". Lineage: Eukaryota; Metazoa; Chordata; Mammalia; Primates; Hominidae. The record is from RNAcentral.
GGCCUGGGGAAGGAGAUGGUCUGAUGAGGCCAGCACUGGGGACUAAGGACGUGGAGUGAGCAGGCCAGCCUGUGGGCCAGGCCCAGGUUGAACCAUGUUGCUUGCCUCAGUCUCUUCACAGAGCCCUCAGAGCCCCUCCCUGAGGAGUCCAAACCUGUGGAGAUGCCCUUCCACCACUGCCACAGGGACCCCCUUCCGCCGCCGGGCCUUACCCCUGAGAGGCUGCAUGCACGGAGGCAGCUAUAUGCUGCCUGUGCCGUUUGCUUUGUCUUCAUGGCUGGGGAGGUGGUCGGCGGGUAUCUGGCACACAGCCUGGCCAUCAUGACCGAUGCAGCCCACUUGCUGGCGGAUGUGGGCAGCAUGAUGGGCAGCCUCUUCUCCCUCUGGCUCUCCACCCGUCCAGCCACCCGCACCAUGACCUUUGGCUGGCACCGUUCAGAGACUCUGGGGGCUUUGGCCUCUGUGGUCUCCCUCUGGAUGGUCACUGGCAUCCUCCUGUAC